AGAAUCAACGCUGGCGGCGUGCCUAACACAUGCAAGUCGAACGAGAAAGUGGAGCAAUCCAUGAGUAAAGUGGCGCACGGGUGAGUAACACGUGACUAACCUACCCUUGAGUGGGGAUAACCUAGGGAAACCUGGGCUAAUACCGCAUAAUACCUUCGGGUCAAAGGAGCAAUUUCGCUUAAGGAGGGGUCGCGGCCGAUUAGUUAGUUGCGGGGUAAUGGCCCACCAAGACUGUGAUCGGUAU
RNAcentral lists this ribosomal RNA (244 nucleotides) under uncultured bacterium. Its description in RNAcentral is "partial small subunit ribosomal RNA". It matches the Rfam family "Bacterial small subunit ribosomal RNA", at positions 26 to 286 of the family's 1533-position model. The record is from RNAcentral.